GAUGAACGCUGGCGGCGUGCCUAAUACAUGCAAGUCGAGCGAACGGACGAGAAGCUUGCUUCUCUGAUGUCAGCGGCGGACGGGUGAGUAACACGCGGAUAACCUACCUAUAAGACCGGGAUAACUUCGGGAAACCGGAGCUAAUACCGGAUAAUAUUUUGAACCGCAUGGUUCAAAAGUGAAAGACGGUCUUGCUGUCACUUAUAGAUGGAUCCGCGCUGCAUUAGCUAGUUGGUAAGGUAACGGCUUACCAAGGCAACGAUGCAUAGCCGACCUGAGAGGGUGAUCGGCCACACUGGAACUGAGACACGGUCCAGACUCCUACGGGAGGCAGCAGUAGGGAAUCUUCCGCAAUGGGCGAAAGCCUGACGGAGCAACGCCGCGUGAGUGAUGAAGGUCUUCGGAUCGUAAAACUCUGUUAUUAGGGAAGAACAUAUGUGUAAGUAACUGUGCACAUCUUGACGGUACCUAAUCAGAAAGCCACGGCUAACUACGUG
RNAcentral lists this ribosomal RNA (497 nucleotides) under uncultured bacterium. Its description in RNAcentral is "partial 16S ribosomal RNA". It matches the Rfam family "Bacterial small subunit ribosomal RNA", at positions 28 to 507 of the family's 1533-position model. The record is from RNAcentral.